This 85-nucleotide transfer RNA is filed under the name Oxalobacter vibrioformis. RNAcentral's name for it is "tRNA-Leu". It matches the Rfam family "tRNA". Rfam says of the family: Transfer RNA (tRNA) molecules are approximately 80 nucleotides in length. Their secondary structure includes four short double-helical elements and three loops (D, anti-codon, and T loops). The record is from RNAcentral. RNAcentral also lists the same sequence under 2 other names. Lineage: Bacteria; Pseudomonadati; Pseudomonadota; Betaproteobacteria; Burkholderiales; Oxalobacteraceae.
GCCCACGUGGCGGAAUUGGUAGACGCGCACGGUUCAGGUCCGUGUGUUGAGAGACGUGGGGGUUCAAAUCCCUCCGUGGGCACCA